GAUGAAGAACGUAGCGAAAUGCGAUAAGUAGUGUGAAUUGCAGAAUUCAGUGAAUCAUCGAAUCUUUGAACGCACAUUGCGCCCCUUGGUAUUCCAUGGGGCAUGCCUGUUCGAGCGUCAUUGCUGCCCUCAAGCACGGCUUGUGUGUUGGGCCUCCGCCCCCCGGCUCCCGGGGGGCGGGCCCGAAAGGCAGCGGCGGCACCGCGUCCGGUCCUCGAGCGUAUGGGGCUUCGUCACCCGCUCCGUAGGCCCGGCCGGCGCCCGCCGGCGACCCCCCUCAAUCUUUCCAGGUUGACCUCGGAUCAGGUAGGGAUACCCGCUGAACUUAAGCAUAUCAAUAAGCGGAGGA
RNAcentral lists this unclassified non-coding RNA (349 nucleotides) under soil metagenome. RNAcentral's name for it is "partial contains 5.8S ribosomal RNA, internal transcribed spacer 2, and large subunit ribosomal RNA". The stretch from base 1 to 120 matches the Rfam family "5.8S ribosomal RNA", at positions 35 to 154 of the family's 154-position model. The record is from RNAcentral.